Molecule: ribosomal RNA, 405 nt
Filed under: uncultured bacterium
Lineage: Bacteria
Description: partial 16S ribosomal RNA
Rfam family: Bacterial small subunit ribosomal RNA
Source: RNAcentral
GAUGAACGCUGGCGGCGUGCCUAAUACAUGCAAGUCGAGCGAAGCGGGGACGGGUGAGUAACACGUGGAUAACCUCCUAUAAGACUGGGAUAACUUCGGGAACCCGAAGCUAAACCGGUUACUUAUAGAUGGAUCCUGGCUGCAUUAGCUAGUUGGUAGGGUAACGGCUUACCAAGGCUACGAUGCAUAGCCGACCUGAGAGGGUGAUCGGCCACACUGGAACUGAGAAACGGUCCAGACUCCUACGGGAGGCAGCAGUAGGGAAUAUUGCGCAAUGGGCGAAAGCCUGACGGAGCAACGCCGCGUGAGUGAUGAAGGUCUUCGGAUCGUAAAACUCUGUUAGUAGGGAAGCGGUACCUAAUCAGAAAGCAACGGCUAACUACGUGCCAGCAGCCGCGGUAAUUC